RNAcentral lists this ribosomal RNA (253 nucleotides) under uncultured bacterium. Its description in RNAcentral is "partial 16S ribosomal RNA". It matches the Rfam family "Bacterial small subunit ribosomal RNA", at positions 524 to 776 of the family's 1533-position model. The record is from RNAcentral.
UACGGAGGGUGCAAGCGUUAUCCGGAUUCACUGGGUUUAAAGGGUGCGUAGGAGGGCAGGUAAGUCAGUGGUGAAAUCUCCAAGCUUAACUUGGAAGCUGCCGUUGAUACUAUCUGUCUUGAAUACCGUGGAGGUGAGCGGAAUAUGUCAUGUAGCGGUGAAAUGCUUAGAUAUGACAUAGAACACCAAUUGCGAAGGCAGCUCGCUACACGAAUAUUGACUCUGAGGCACGAAAGCGUGGGGAUCAAACAGG